CUGGUUUGUUAUCAAACAGAUACACGCGACGCAUUCCUGUAUUUUUAACAAAGAUAAGGACGGUACGUUGUUUGAAGUUGUGGAGUAAGAGGACAUGAAAAACGAGAUCUCACGGUAUGGAGUUGCAGAGGACAGGCCAGAUGGUAAACACAUUGCAGAGAAAAUAUGCACACCUACAUUGAAAUGAACGAACCUCCUCUGCAGAACCCAGACAGUAACUUGAUCUACCAAAGGCAUUAACCAUGUUGAGCAGCAUCAACCUCUCUUUCCCUGUGGUGGCGGCAGCAGCUACAUGAUUCCCUGGAAAAUCUCUUUUUGGAAUAUGACAUACUGGAGAUGCUCAGUGCAGUUGUUGAUGAAAUGUUGGAUGGGAUGAACAAUAUUCAUCCCAAAAAACCUCAUGAGACAUUCUGCUUGCACAGAGCGCCUCUGCUCAUCUCAAAGAAAUGACUGGCUUCUCAGUUCUCGUUUCAGAAUGCCUGGCAUUUCAGAUGGUUGAAUCAGUGUGUCCAGCAUAAGGAAAACUGAGCAAAGUACUUCCAACAGAAACUGGAUGGGUCUCCACAAAUUUAUGCCAGGACUGUCUGGCCCUCAUUGAGAAAGGUGAUAUGACCUGAAGAGACAAGGAAAACAAAGAAUCAGCAAGAUAGACAGAAGAAGAAAGUGAUAAGGGAAGGGGAAGAAAGAAGUUACAGAAAUGAGAAAGACUAUACAUAUCCAUUGAUUACGAUCUUGCUCACCCUCCGCUAACAUAGAGGUUACUCAGCUGAAGGUUUGAUUGAAGACCAACUUGGAAAAGGUACUUUUGCCUCUUCUAGAGGUCUCUUUUCUCAGCUACACCAAGCAACAUCUCCUGGAAUAUCUUCCUGACCCAUAAGAGAUGGUUCUCCCAUGUCUGGAUCAGACACUGGAACAGUCAAAGAGGAUAAGUCUUAUCUCCAGUUCAUGAUGACUGAAAGAACUACACCAGAGGAAG
Long non-coding RNA from Protopterus annectens (West African lungfish), 976 nucleotides. RefSeq lists it as uncharacterized. The record is from RefSeq and is a predicted model, not a curated record. The transcript has 7 exons. NCBI's taxonomy places the organism in Eukaryota, Metazoa, Chordata, Ceratodontiformes, Protopteridae.